ACUUUGCAAAACAAGUACGGGAAUACAAGCACAAUCCUCAGCUGCAUAUGUUAUGUUGGCACAGCUUCUAAUCCAGAAGGUAUAGACUGGCUGUAAAUUUCAAAAUGGAGCAGUAACUUCUGAAGCACAUUUACUAUAGCACACUCUUUAUCAAAAUCUUUAAUGUGCAGCUCUGUGCGUUUCCUAAUAUCUUUCUUGGUUGAUUUAUGGGUGUGACUGGGUGAAACAUUGCCUGAUGGCCUGGCUGACCACUGCACAGUUGAAGACUGGUUGACUUGCCAUUGGAUACACAAAAAAUCUUUCCAAGCAUUGUGCCACUGGGUUAUGCAUUACAUUUGUGCCAACAGAUUCAUAAGACUGUGAAAUAGCUUUUUACCAAAGACAAACCUGCUAGGAAGGACAGAGCAACAGAGUGUUUAUGGGCCAGACGUAGGACACCUGAUUCUUCUGUGCCAACCCAAGAGAUUGUCUUCUUUGAGCUAUUUUGUCUAGAGACUCAUUGCUAUAUUUUGAUGCCAACGUAACACCACCUGUUGCAAGGAGUCCAAGACUAUUGUCUUCAGCAAUUUUUGGAAUUAUAUGAAGUGGACAAUGACAGAUCUCAGAAAGGAUCUUCUUGCUUUCAGGUGGUGGCAUAGCUCUUAGAUUGAUUUCUACCUGCUUCCUGCUAUUCAUAAUUUUUCUGUCUUUUUGCCCAAGUCAUUUCUUUUCCAGACCACGAAGCCUCAGCCUCUUAUUCUUUGUAUAACUGCAAAAAUUACUUUUACUAAUAGUAAAUAUUUAAUCUCAUUGGAAAUGUCUGUAAGUGGUUGCCUACAAGAGGAAUAUAUAGCAGUUCCAGUUAGUUUUGCCCAUGUAAUGUGACAAAGUAUUUCUAAGUACUGAUUUUAAUGUUUAUAUCUGUCAUCAUCACUGAAGGAUUGUUUAUUUCUGUAUUGUUGCCCGUAAUGUGUAUGACUAUGUUUAUACAGGUAACAGUUAAAAAAUAAUAGAUAUAUACAAUAUUCCAACUCAGGAAAUAAUUAUAAUUGGAUCUUUCCUCGAAAAGAGUCUGAUUUUGGCACCAAUAAUUAUUUGGAAGAAAGCAUUUACAUUACAAUAAACUAUUCUUGUUUGUUCC
Gallus gallus (chicken) is the source of this 1120-nucleotide long non-coding RNA. The record is from Ensembl. NCBI's taxonomy places the organism in Eukaryota, Metazoa, Chordata, Aves, Galliformes, Phasianidae.